Molecule: long non-coding RNA, 1203 nt
Filed under: Homo sapiens (human)
Lineage: Eukaryota; Metazoa; Chordata; Mammalia; Primates; Hominidae
Description: non-protein coding lnc-PGBD4-1:1
Source: RNAcentral
CAGCCAAAAAUGGUGAUAGUGAAAACAAUGGCUGCUCUGGGGACCGAAACCUACCACCAUCAAAUCAAGUAUCAUUUUGAUGACUUUAAUUUGCCGUAAGACGAAUUUUUAAAAGGAACAGACUAAAUUGGAUGAAAGCUGGAUACCUCUGGAAAUAACAAAAUUCAACAGGUUAAAUUACCUAACAACAGAUUUUAAUAUAAUAGAAGCACUGAACAAAUCAAAGGCAGAACUAAUGAAAAUACAGAUAAAACUAAAAUCAGAAGAUUUUUCCAAACAAACCUCCCUCUGAUUAGUACAAAAUGUCCCUCUGGCAACUGAUGAGUAGAAAAAAAUGAUGUAAAACCAGAUCCAUUCAUAUGAAAGGCUUCCCAAUGGAUGCAACUCCUGAUGACAUAAUUAUUUUAUGUCUAAUCUUUUAAAGAUUAGAAGAUAAAGGACAAGCACUAAAUAUUCAAAUGAGAAAAACAUUACACAAAGCAUUUAAGCAAUCAACACGUGCAGUGUUUGACGGUAUUAAAUCCAAUAAAAAGUUUAUAGAGACCCUGGCCCUGAACCCUGGUAUAAAAAUACAGACCUUCUAACACUUUUCAAGGAGGAUUAUUUUGCAAAACAAGAAUGAAGCAAAACAAAGUAUAAACUAAAUUCAGAGCUAAGCAAGAGCAAGAAGAAAAAUGGAAUGCUGAGGAUGCUCAAAUGAAAUGUCUAGAUUGAAUGUUUGCUGAAAUUUUGGGAUGACUUAGAUAAUGUGACCUGUAGAAAGCACCCACAUAUCCUUUUCUCAAAUCAUGGGGAAAUAAAAUGGAUACACUUUAUCAGUAGAGCAAAAGAGAGAUUAAUUCUAUGUAAGAAAAAAGCUAAAGAAACACUAAAUAAAGCAGAAGCAGCCAGCAAUUGUAACCUAUGACUAAGAAACAAGGAAGAGAUGUGGAAAUUACUAGACAGAAAGGUAGAAAAAGAAACACUGAAAAAAACUCAUGCAAAAUCACCAAGAAUCUCUAAACAAAUGAGAAUCAAAAGGUCAUAGAUUUAAAGGAAAAAGAAAGGGAAAUAAAGCUGCCUAGGCUGGAUCUGCUAAAGGAAAUGCACAACUUCAGGGCAGGAAAAUGAUAGUUCAGGAUGAUGAAAAUGAUGCAGCUGGACCAGCAAAAACAAAGAAUUGCUUCAAAACAACAGAAAACACAAAAUGGCGCUGGAGACUAG